UCAUUACAAUGAUGAUGAUGA
This is a non-coding RNA of Caenorhabditis elegans, 21 nucleotides long. Lineage: Eukaryota; Metazoa; Nematoda; Chromadorea; Rhabditida; Rhabditidae. The record is from Ensembl.